UAUUUUUUUAUAAAACAGGGGAGGUUCGGGGAGAGAGAAAAACAUAACAAUUUUGGCUAAGUUUUGGGUUCUAGAGAAAAGGUGGAGCAUCCUCAACCCAAAUACACAUCAAAGGACUUCUCUAAUCUUCAAGAAUCAUUCAAAAAGGUUCAAGAUUGGGUUUGAACUACAAGAGAUUCGAGGCGUUUGUAAGCCAAUUCACGAGGCACAAGCAUAGCGGAAUAGGAAAUUACACAGGUUGAGGUAAGUAACAGUUAUAAAUCUGGUCCUGAGGGUAUGAAA
This is a non-coding RNA of Nicotiana tabacum (common tobacco), 282 nucleotides long. NCBI's taxonomy places the organism in Eukaryota, Viridiplantae, Streptophyta, Magnoliopsida, Solanales, Solanaceae. The record is from RefSeq and is a predicted model, not a curated record.